GGGAAUACACAUAUAGGCUAUUUUUAAAAUCAGAUGGAUCUCAAUACAGAGAUCAAAACGAAACUCUAAACUCAAAAACAUACACCUGUUUAUUGAAAAGAGAUUUGACCAAAACAGGGUUGUCGACUGAUACUGAAAGACUCUUCAGUAAGGAGUUAUCAGUUAAGUCACAAGAACUUAACUGAUGCACGUAAGGCUUCAGUCGGGUUUGAUAAAAAUAGAGAUGUUAU
RNAcentral lists this long non-coding RNA (230 nucleotides) under Salvia miltiorrhiza (redroot sage). Its description in RNAcentral is "long non-coding RNA (SMIL_LNC002196)". The record is from RNAcentral. Lineage: Eukaryota; Viridiplantae; Streptophyta; Magnoliopsida; Lamiales; Lamiaceae.